This 506-nucleotide ribosomal RNA is filed under the name uncultured bacterium. Its description in RNAcentral is "partial 16S ribosomal RNA". It matches the Rfam family "Bacterial small subunit ribosomal RNA", at positions 29 to 523 of the family's 1533-position model. The record is from RNAcentral.
AGUGAACGCUGGCGGUAGGCCUAACACAUGCAAGUCGAACGGCAGCACAGAGGAGCUUGCUCCUUGGGUGGCGAGUGGCGGACGGGUGAGGAAUACAUCGGAAUCUACUCUGUCGUGGGGGAUAACGUAGGGAAACUUACGCUAAUACCGCAUACGACCUACGGGUGAAAGGAGGGGACCUUCGGGCCUUGCGCGAUUGAAUGAGCCGAUGUCGGAUUAGCUAGUUGGCGGGGGAAAGGCCCACCAAGGCGACGAUCCGUAGCUGGUCGGAGAGGAUGAUCAGACACACUGGAACUGAGACACGGUCCAGACUACUACGGGAGGAAGCAGUGGGGAAUAUUGGACAAUGGGCGCAAGCCUGAUCCAGCCAUACCGCGUGGGGGAAGAAGGCCUUCGGGUUGUAAAGCCCUUUUGUUGGGAAAGAAAUCCAGCUGGCUAAUACCCGGUUGGGAUGACGGUACCCAAAGAAUAAGCACCGGCUAACUUCGUGCCAGCCGCCGCCGUAA